Molecule: long non-coding RNA, 404 nt
Organism: Oxyura jamaicensis (ruddy duck)
Lineage: Eukaryota; Metazoa; Chordata; Aves; Anseriformes; Anatidae
Exons: 3
Source: RefSeq, a predicted model, not a curated record
AACUCAGAGAGCUUGUGGUUAGAUCUCCUUGAGGCACACACCUGAUAUCCCCAUCCUUCUGCAAUACCCACCAGGUAUACCCUGGUCCUUGGGCGAAGACAAUCCCACGAGUGGGUUUGCCUUGAGAAAAAUACCCUGGUGGGUAAUGCAGAAGGAUGGGGAUAUCAGGCAUGUGCCUCAAGGAGAUCUAACUUUGGGAGAAAACUAAUCUGUAAUCUAAGUUAUAUGUUGUAGGAAGACGCUGGAAGAUCAAUGACAGGUCAACUUUGCAAGGAACUGGGUAAGUACAACAGGGACUUGACCUAAGCUGGUGCUGGUGUCCAGACAUCCAAAUCCACCUGCCUGGAGUGACCACUUUGGCAGAUGAAGACUAAAUCAUCAACAGUUCUUAUUGACAUUUUCUG